This 254-nucleotide ribosomal RNA is filed under the name uncultured bacterium. Its description in RNAcentral is "partial 16S ribosomal RNA". It matches the Rfam family "Bacterial small subunit ribosomal RNA", at positions 524 to 776 of the family's 1533-position model. The record is from RNAcentral.
UACGGAGGGUGCAAGCGUUAAUCGGAUUUACUGGGCGUAAAGCGUGCGCAGGCGGUAAUGUAAGACAGUUGUGAAAUCCCCGGGCUCAACCUGGGAACUGCAUCUGUGACUGCAUUGCUGGAGUACGGUAGAGGGGGAUGGAAUUCCGAGUGUAGAGGUGAAAUGCGUAGAGAUCCGGCGGAACACCGGAGGCGAAAGCGGUCUCCUGGGCCGAGAGCCGACGCUGAGGCGCGAAAGCGUGGGGAGCGAACAGG